GAACGAACGCUGGCGGCGCGUCUUAAGCAUGCAAGUCGGACGGCAAGGGUUGUGCUUGCACAACUCCUAGAGUGGCGGACUGGUGAGUAACGCGUGGGUGACCUGCCCUCGAGAUGGGGAUAGCCAUUAGAAAUAGUGGAUAAUACCGAAUACGCUCAUGACCCUGUGGGAUAUGAGGAAAACAGGCUACGGCCUGGCUCGAGGAUGGGCCCGCGUCCCAUUAGCUAGUUGGUGAGGUAACGGCCCACCAAGGCGACGAUGGGUAUCCGGCCUGAGAGGGUGUACGGACACAUUGGGACUGAGAUACGGCCCAAACUCCUACGGGAGGCAGCAGCUAAGAAUAUUCCGCAAUGGACGAAAGUCUGACGGAGCGACGCCGCGUGGAUGAAGAAAGGCCGGAAGGUUGUAAAAUCCUUUUGCUGAUGAAGAAUAAGUGUGGUAGGGAAUGACCGCAUGAUGACAUUAGUCGGUGAAUAAGCCCCGGCUAACUACGUGCCAGCAGCAGC
RNAcentral lists this ribosomal RNA (506 nucleotides) under uncultured bacterium. RNAcentral's name for it is "bacterial SSU rRNA". It matches the Rfam family "Bacterial small subunit ribosomal RNA", at positions 27 to 518 of the family's 1533-position model. The record is from RNAcentral.